This 253-nucleotide ribosomal RNA is filed under the name uncultured bacterium. Its description in RNAcentral is "partial 16S ribosomal RNA". It matches the Rfam family "Bacterial small subunit ribosomal RNA", at positions 524 to 776 of the family's 1533-position model. The record is from RNAcentral.
UACGGAGGGUGCAAGCGUUAUCCGGAUUUACUGGGUUUAAAGGGUGCGCAGGCGGAUAUGUAAGUCAGUGGUGAAAUCUCCGGGCUUAACCCGGAAACUGCCGUUGAUACUAUAUAUCUUGAAUGCCGUGGAGGUAAGCGGAAUAUGUCAUGUAGCGGUGAAAUGCUUAGAUAUGACAUAGAACACCGAUUGCGAAGGCAGCUUACUACACGGAGAUUGACGCUCAUGCACGAAAGCGUGGGGAUCAAACAGG